GGUUAAGCGACUAAGCGUACACGGUGGAUGCCCUGGCAGUCAGAGGCGAUGAAGGGCGUGCUAAUCUGCGAUAAGCGCCGGUAAGGUGAUAUGAACCGUUAUAACCGGCGAUACCCGAAUGGGGAAACCCAGUGUGAUUCGUCACACUAUCAUUAACUGAAUCCAUAGGUUAAUGAGGCGAACCGGGGGAACUGAAACAUCUAAGUACCCCGAGGAAAAGAAAUCAACCGAGAUUCCCCCAGUAGCGGCGAGCGAACGGGGAGGAGCCCAGAGCCUGAAUCAGCAUGUGUGUUAGUGGAAGCGUCUGGAAAGGCGCGCGAUACAGGGUGACAGCCCCGUACACAAAAGCGCAUGUGCUGUGAGCUCGAUGAGUAGGGCGGGACACGUGGUAUCCUGUCUGAAUAUGGGGGGACCAUCCUCCAAGGCUAAAUACUCCUGACUGACCGAUAGUGAACCAGUACCGUGAGGGAAAGGCGAAAAGAACCCCGGCGAGGGGAGUGAAAAAGAACCUGAAACCGUGUACGUACAAGCAGUGGGAGCCCCACCACCAAAGCAUUCUAUGGUGUUGAAGGCCCUGCAAAGCAGCAUCGCGGUGGCGGAGCGUCGUUUGCGACGCCCAACACACAAAACAAGCGGUGAGUGCUUUGGGGUGGGGUGACUGCGUACCUUUUGUAUAAUGGGUCAGCGACUUAUAUUCUGUAGCAAGGUUAACCGAAUAGGGGAGCCGGAGGGAAACCGAGUCUUAAUUGGGCGUUAAGUUGCAGGGUAUAGACCCGAAACCCGGUGAUCUAGCCAUGGGCAGGUUGAAGGUUGGGUAACACUAACUGGAGGACCGAACCGACUAAUGUUGAAAAAUUAGCGGAUGACCUGUGGCUGGGGGUGAAAGGCCAAUCAAACCGGGAGAUAGCUGGUUCUCCCCGAAAGCUAUUUAGGUAGCGCCUCGUGAAUUCAUCUCCGGGGGUAGAGCACUGUUUCGGCUAGGGGGCCAUCCCGGCUUACCAACCCGAUGCAAACUGCGAAUACCGGAGAAUGUUAUCACGGGAGACACACGGCGGGUGCUAACGUCCGUCGUGAAGAGGGAAACAACCCAGACCGCCAGCUAAGGUCCCAAAGUCAUGGUUAAGUGGGAAACGAUGUGGGAAGGCCCAGACAGCCAGGAUGUUGGCUUAGAAGCAGCCAUCAUUUAAAGAAAGCGUAAUAGCUCACUGGUCGAGUCGGCCUGCGCGGAAGAUGUAACGGGGCUAAACCAUGCACCGAAGCUGCGGCAGCGACACUGUGUGUUGUUGGGUAGGGGAGCGUUCUGUAAGCCUGUGAAGGUGUGUCGUGAGGCAUGCUGGAGGUAUCAGAAGUGCGAAUGCUGACAUAAGUAACGAUAAAGCGGGUGAAAAGCCCGCUCGCCGGAAGACCAAGGGUUCCUGUCCAACGUUAAUCGGGGCAGGGUGAGUCGACCCCUAAGGCGAGGCCGAAAGGCGUAGUCGAUGGGAAACGGGUUAAUAUUCCCGUACUUGGUGUUACUGCGAAGGGGGGACGGAGAAGGCUAUGUUGGCCGGGCGACGGUUGUCCCGGUUUAAGCGUGUAGGUGUGUGUUCCAGGUAAAUCCGGUUCACUUUAACACUGAGGCGUGACGACGAGGCACUACGGUGCUGAAGCAACAAAUGCCCUGCUUCCAGGAAAAGCCUCUAAGCAUCAGGUAACAUCAAAUCGUACCCCAAACCGACACAGGUGGUCAGGUAGAGAAUACCAAGGCGCUUGAGAGAACUCGGGUGAAGGAACUAGGCAAAAUGGUGCCGUAACUUCGGGAGAAGGCACGCUGACACGUAGGUGAAGUGAUUUACUCAUGGAGCUGAAGUCAGUCGAAGAUACCAGCUGGCUGCAACUGUUUAUUAAAAACACAGCACUGUGCAAACACGAAAGUGGACGUAUACGGUGUGACGCCUGCCCGGUGCCGGAAGGUUAAUUGAUGGGGUCAGCGCAAGCGAAGCUCCUGAUCGAAGCCCCGGUAAACGGCGGCCGUAACUAUAACGGUCCUAAGGUAGCGAAAUUCCUUGUCGGGUAAGUUCCGACCUGCACGAAUGGCGUAAUGAUGGCCAGGCUGUCUCCACCCGAGACUCAGUGAAAUUGAACUCGCUGUGAAGAUGCAGUGUACCCGCGGCAAGACGGAAAGACCCCGUGAACCUUUACUAUAGCUUGACACUGAACAUUGAGCCUUGAUGUGUAGGAUAGGUGGGAGGCUUUGAAGUGUGGACGCCAGUCUGCAUGGAGCCGACCUUGAAAUACCACCCUUUAAUGUUUGAUGUUCUAACGUGGACCCGUAAUCCGGGUUGCGGACAGUGUCUGGUGGGUAGUUUGACUGGGGCGGUCUCCUCCUAAAGAGUAACGGAGGAGCACGAAGGUUGGCUAAUCCUGGUCGGACAUCAGGAGGUUAGUGCAAUGGCAUAAGCCAGCUUGACUGCGAGCGUGACGGCGCGAGCAGGUGCGAAAGCAGGUCAUAGUGAUCCGGUGGUUCUGAAUGGAAGGGCCAUCGCUCAACGGAUAAAAGGUACUCCGGGGAUAACAGGCUGAUACCGCCCAAGAGUUCAUAUCGACGGCGGUGUUUGGCACCUCGAUGUCGGCUCAUCACAUCCUGGGGCUGAAGUAGGUCCCAAGGGUAUGGCUGUUCGCCAUUUAAAGUGGUACGCGAGCUGGGUUUAGAACGUCGUGAGACAGUUCGGUCCCUAUCUGCCGUGGGCGCUGGAGAACUGAGGGGGGCUGCUCCUAGUACGAGAGGACCGGAGUGGACGCAUCACUGGUGUUCGGGUUGUCAUGCCAAUGGCACUGCCCGGUAGCUAAAUGCGGAAGAGAUAAGUGCUGAAAGCAUCUAAGCACGAAACUUGCCCCGAGAUGAGUUCUCCCUGAGACUUUAGGUCUCCUGAAGGAACGUUGAAGACGACGACGUUGAUAGGCCGGGUGUGUAAGCGCAGCGAUGCGUUGAGCUAACCGGUACUAAUGAACCGUGAGGCUUAACCUU
This 3007-nucleotide ribosomal RNA is filed under the name Salmonella enterica subsp. enterica. RNAcentral's name for it is "23S ribosomal RNA". It matches the Rfam family "Bacterial large subunit ribosomal RNA". Lineage: Bacteria; Pseudomonadati; Pseudomonadota; Gammaproteobacteria; Enterobacterales; Enterobacteriaceae. The record is from RNAcentral.